RNAcentral lists this ribosomal RNA (1712 nucleotides) under Cinetochilum margaritaceum. RNAcentral's name for it is "SSU rRNA". It matches the Rfam family "Eukaryotic small subunit ribosomal RNA". Lineage: Eukaryota; Ciliophora; Oligohymenophorea; Philasterida; Cinetochilidae. The record is from RNAcentral.
AGUCAUAUGCUUGUCUCAAAGAUUAAGCCAUGCAUGUCUAAGUAUAAAUAGUAUACAGUGAAACUGCGAAUGGCUCAUUAAAACAGUUAUAGUUUAUUUGAUAAUGGAAGAUUACAUGGAUAACCGUGGUAAUUCUAGAGCUAAUACAUGCUAUCUGCCCGACUCACGAAGGGCUGUAUUUAUUAGAUAUGAAACCAAUCCCGCAAGGGUUGUGACGAAUCACAGUAACUGAUCGAAUCGGCGCGCAAGCGGCGAUAAAUCAUUCAAGUUUCUGCCCUAUCAGCUUUCGAUGGUAGUGUAUUGGACUACCAUGGCAGUCACGGGUAACGGAGAAUUAGGGUUCGGUUCCGGAGAGGGAGCCUGAGAAACGGCUACCACAUCUAAGGAUGGCAGCAGGCGCGUAAAUUACCCAAUCCUGAUUCAGGGAGGUAGUGACAAGAAAUAACAACCUGGGAGCCUUUGGCUCUACGGGAUUGCAAUGAGAACAAUUUAGAUCACUUAGCGAGGAACAAUUGGAGGGCAAGUCUGGUGCCAGCAGCCGCGGUAAUUCCAGCUCCAAUAGCGUAUAUUAAAGUUGUUGCAGUUAAAAAGCUCGUAGUUGAAUGUCUGGUUACUGGCUGUUUCGGCUUCGGUCGGGCAGACGGUGAUCAUCCGCAUACGAAACUAGUUCGGCCUUUACUGGUUCGGCUAGGGGAGUGUGCAUUUUACUUUGAAAAAAUUAGAGUGUUUCAGGCAGGCAAUCGCUUGAAUACAUUAGCAUGGAAUAAUGGAAUAGGACUAUUGUCAAUUUUGUUGGUUAUUUGACUUUAGUAAUGAUUAAUAGGGACAGUUGGGGGCAUUAGUAUUUAAUUGUCAGAGGUGAAAUUCUUGGAUUUAUUAAAGACUAACUUAUGCGAAAGCAUUUGCCAAGGAUGUUUUCAUUAAUCAAGAACGAAAGUUAGGGGAUCAAAGACGAUCAGAUACCGUCCUAGUCUUAACUAUAAACUAUACCGACUCGGGAUCGGGUGGGAUCUUAAAGCCUGCUCGGCACCGUAGGAGAAAUCAAAGUCUUUGGGUUCUGGGGGGAGUAUGGUCGCAAGGCUGAAACUUAAAGGAAUUGACGGAAGGGCACACCAGGAGUGGAGCCUGCGGCUUAAUUUGACUCAACACGGGGAAACUUACCAGGUCAAAACAUGGGUGGGAUUGACAGAUUGAGAGCUCUUUCUUGAUUCUGUGGGUGGUGGUGCAUGGCCGUUCUUAGUUGGUGGAGUGAUUUGUCUGGUUAAUUCCGUUAACGAACGAGACCUUAACCUGCUAACUAGUGAGCCUAUGAACAAUAGGUGCCACUUCUUAGAGGGACUUCAUGUAUCAAGCAUGAGGAAGUUUGAGGCAAUAACAGGUCUGUGAUGCCCUUAGAUGUCCUGGGCCGCACGCGCGCUACAAUGACACGUGCAGAGAGUACACCCUGGUUCGAAAGAAUCCGGGUAAACUUCAUAAUACGUGUCGCGAUAGGGAUCGACCUUUGGAAUUAUAGGUCUUGAACGAGGAAUUCCUAGUAAGUGCAAGUCAUCAGCUUGUACUGAUUACGUCCCUGCCCUUUGUACACACCGCCCGUCGCUCCUACCGAUUCGAGUGAUCCGGUGAACAUUCUGGACUAGUCUGUCCUCGAGACAGAAUGGGAAGUUAAGUAAACCUUAUCACUUAGAGGAAGGAGAAGUCGUAACAAGGUUUCC